UACAGAGGGUGCGAGCGUUGUCCGGAAUCACUGGGCGUAAAGGGCGCGUAGGCGGCCUGAUAAGUCGGGGGUGAAAUCCUGUGGCUCAACCACAGGGCUGCCUCCGAGACUGUCGGGCUCGAGCACAGUAGAGGCAGGUGGAAUUCCCGGUGUAGCGGUGGAAUGCGUAGAGAUCGGGAAGAACAUCGGUGGCGAAGGCGGCCUGCUGGGCUGUUGCUGACGCUGAGGCACGACAGCGUGGGGAGCAAACAGG
Molecule: ribosomal RNA, 253 nt
Filed under: uncultured bacterium
Lineage: Bacteria
Description: partial 16S ribosomal RNA
Rfam family: Bacterial small subunit ribosomal RNA
Source: RNAcentral